RNAcentral lists this ribosomal RNA (253 nucleotides) under uncultured bacterium. RNAcentral's name for it is "partial 16S ribosomal RNA". It matches the Rfam family "Bacterial small subunit ribosomal RNA", at positions 524 to 776 of the family's 1533-position model. The record is from RNAcentral.
UACGUAGGGUGCGAGCGUUGUCCGGAAUUAUUGGGCGUAAAGAGCUUGUAGGCGGUUUGUCGCGUCUGCCGUGAAAAUUCGAGGCUCAACCUCGAACUUGCGGUGGGUACGGGCAGACUAGAGUGUGGUAGGGGAGACUGGAAUUCCUGGUGUAGCGGUGAAAUGCGCAGAUAUCAGGAGGAAUACCGGUGGUGUAGACGGCUCUCUGGACCGCCACUGACGCUGAGACACGAAAGCGUGGGUAGCAAACAGG